GUGGGGAAUUUUGGACAAUGGGCGCAAGCCUGAUCCAGCAAUGCCGCGUGCAGGAAGAAGGCCUUCGGGUUGUAAACUGCUUUUGUACGGAACGAAACGGUCCUGGCUAAUACCCGGGGCUAAUGACGGUACCGUAAGAAUAAGCACCGGCUAACUACGUGCCAGCAGCCGCGGUAAUACGUAGGGUGCGAGCGUUAAUCGGAAUUACUGGGCGUAAAGCGUGCGCAGGCGGUUGUGUAAGACAGGUGUGAAAUCCCCGGGCUUAACCUGGGAACUGCGCUUGUGACUGCACGGCUAGAGUAUGGCAGAGGGGGGUGGAAUUCCACGUGUAGCAGUGAAAUGCGUAGAUAUGCGGAGGAACACCGAUGGCGAAGGCAAUCCCCUGGGCCUGCACUGACGCUCAUGCACGAAAGCGUGGGGAGCAAACAGGAUUAGAAACCCCUGUAGUCC
RNAcentral lists this ribosomal RNA (450 nucleotides) under uncultured bacterium. Its description in RNAcentral is "bacterial SSU rRNA". It matches the Rfam family "Bacterial small subunit ribosomal RNA", at positions 354 to 796 of the family's 1533-position model. The record is from RNAcentral.